This 429-nucleotide ribosomal RNA is filed under the name Verrucomicrobiota bacterium. RNAcentral's name for it is "Verrucomicrobia bacterium partial 16S ribosomal RNA". It matches the Rfam family "Bacterial small subunit ribosomal RNA", at positions 355 to 776 of the family's 1533-position model. Lineage: Bacteria; Pseudomonadati; Verrucomicrobiota. The record is from RNAcentral.
UAGGGAAUCUUCCGCAAUGGACGAAAGUCUGACGGAGCAACGCCGCGUGAGUGAAGAAGGCUUUCGGUUCGUAAAACUCUGUUGUUAGGGAAGAAAAAAUGUAUAGUAACUAUAUACAAAAGAGACGGUACCUAACCAGAAAGCCACGGCUAACUACGUGCCAGCAGCCGCGGUAAUACGUAGGUGGCAAGCGUUGUCCGGAAUUAUUGGGCGUAAAGCGCGCGCAGGUGGUUUAGAAAGUCUGAUGUGAAAGCCCACGGCUCAACCGUGGAGGGUCAGUGGAAACUAAUAAACUUGAGUGCAGGAGAGAAAAGUGGAAUUCCUAGUGUAGCGGUGAAAUGCGUAGAGAUUAGGAGGAACACCGGUGGCGAAAGCGGCUUUUUGGCCUGCAACUGACACUGAGGCGCGAAAGCGUGGGGAGCAAACAGG